AUGUUUUGCAGUGGCUGGUACCAGUUUUUCCUUUCCAUAAUUUGUGCUUACAAGAGGAGCUCUUGUAAGUGCUCUACCAUGAUAAGAAGUGUUGGCUUUCCCUUUGCCUUCCACCGUAAUUGUAAGUUUCCUGAAGCUUCCCAGUCGUGCCUCCUGUUGUGCCUGCAGAACCGUGAGUCAAUUAAGCAUUUUUACUUUAGAAACCAGCUAGUCUUGGGUAUUUUAUACUGCUAUAGGAUUAUAAAAAUGGAAUAAUAAAACAUGUACAUUUAAAGUCUCCAAGCACAGGGUUUUUUUUCUGUUAUUCUUCAUGUCACAUUUGGUUCCUAUAGGGAGGAAUAUGAAUUACAUAAUGGAUUAGUUCUAUUAUUCAAAUCUUAUACCUUUCAACAGUGGGCUUUGCAAGGGGCCAAAGAUUUUAUUUCAGUAACAAUCAGUACAACAAAAUUCUGAAUUGUGGAUCGCUGUUUUAUUGGAAACAUCUGACUCAUUGAUUUUUAUUGAAUUUAAAUCUCAUCUCAAAAUGAACUGAAGUCCUAAAUCUUCCACAUAGUAUUUAUUAACUUUUUUCCCUUUGAUAAAAUGCUUUAAUCUCCCAUUCUUAGAGCAUCUCUAAUUUCUACACUGUAUUAUAAUUACCAAUGCCUAGAUCUCACUGUUCCUGUUGGAUUGCAUUCCUUUCAAAGCAAGACAAAUGUUUGAUUCAAUUCUGACAUUCUCAAAGAUUAGCUAAGUGUCCCCUAAAAAUUUGUGUUCAAUGGAUAUUUGUUGAGUGAAUAUAUAAGAGUUGACCAAUGUAGAUAACGUAAGAUAAUGGAUGAGAAAAAGAGAUUCAGCUCUUAAUCUACUGGAGAAUUGGCUUAAUAUCAUACAUGGUGUAUGGUGGGAACUACUGAAACACACCAUAGGUAACUCAGAUGUCACUCGUCCUUUUAUUAUCAUCUUGAAACUAUCUAUCUGUGUUCUGCCUCAUUCUAGUAAGAGAAAAACAAGCAUUGGUUAGCGUAGAAUCUACUGAAGAUCUGCUAGGAAAAGCAGAGGACUGAGUUGUGUCAUAAAAGAAAUUUAAAACUUAGAAAAGUUCAUAUAGUGGCCUUUUUUGUUGUUCCUGGGUUCCUUUUGUCUUUUUUCAUCUUUCCUUCCAUAAAGCACUCAGAUUUUCCUAAAAAUAAUCUCCUGCUCUCAAAUGUUUCUCAAGUUUUACAAAUCCCUCAUCUUUAUUAUAUGUGGAAUUUGCUUCUCCUAACUUAUACAGUGCUCAGCAAAAUGCCCUGUGGUAGCAUGCUCCAACCUCACUAAAAUGUAUUGGGAAAUGAUAUACAUUCAAUAAUUCAAAGCCCCCUUUAUUUAUUUUUAUUUUUUCCAUAAGUUAUUGGGGCACAGGUGGUAUUUGGUUACAUGAAUAAGCUCUUUAAUGGUGGUUUGUAAUAUCCUGGUGUACCCAUCACCCAAGCAGUAUGCACUGCACCAUAUUUGUUGUCUUUUAUCUCUCACCCUCCUCCCACUCCUGACCCCCAAGUCCCCAAAGUCCAUUAUAUCAUUCUUAUGCCUUUGCAUCUUCAUAGCUUAGCUUCCAUAUAUCAGUGAAAACAUAAAAUGUUUGGUUUUCCAUUCCUGAGUUACAAAGCCACCUUUAUUUAAAUGAUUAAAUAUUAUUAAUAAUUAAAUGCAUUAAUAAAAAUGAACAUAAUCAGAUAAUAUGGCUGUCCUAGCCAUGGCAGAUGGAGUUCUUUAGUAUACACAGAAUUAUUGCCAUUUCUUUGCUUGGGAAAGUUAAAAUAAGCCCUAGAACAAUACAAAUUAUGGGUCAUCUCAGGAGUCUUUCACUUUUUUGGGCCUAACUGGAAAUAAUUAGGGAGUUCCUGAAUCUGUAUGGAUCAUCAUUUCAGGCUGUUCAAACGCCUCCACGUGUUUGCAGACUGCCAGUGGGAAGAAGUUGCCUGGAUGUUGCUCAAGGAGAACAGAGGAUGUAGUGAACCUCCUAAAGCUAUUUUAAGUAGGAUUUCAUGGAGUAAAAUUGAGAUUUCCUGGGGCUCUCCUUUUUUCAUAAUUUGGUCAUAAAAUAUCCCUACCCUCUACUUAAGAGCUGAAGUCAAUUUAAUGACUCUAAAGAUAAUUGAAUUAGCAGUAACUUGUAUAAUACUUUGUUAUUUUGAUGAC
Molecule: long non-coding RNA, 2160 nt
Filed under: Callithrix jacchus (white-tufted-ear marmoset)
Lineage: Eukaryota; Metazoa; Chordata; Mammalia; Primates; Cebidae
Description: lncRNA (ENSCJAG00000059073.2)
Source: RNAcentral